This 30214-nucleotide long non-coding RNA is filed under the name Ananas comosus (pineapple). RNAcentral describes it as "long non-coding RNA (ACOM_LNC021614)". Lineage: Eukaryota; Viridiplantae; Streptophyta; Magnoliopsida; Poales; Bromeliaceae. The record is from RNAcentral.
AAUAAAUAAAAGUUUGAAUACUAAAAUCAAAAUUUAAAAAAAUUAGAUGAUCAAUUCAUAAUAAUCAAUAUAUAUAUAUAUAUAUAUAUAUAUAUAUAUGUUUUCUGUACUUUCGAAAGUACGAAGACUUUCGUAUUUAUAAGUUAUUUUUGAUGACAUGACAUCUGAUUUGACGAUCGGUUCCAUUAAGUAUAAUUUAUAAUAUUGAAAUUAUUUAAAAAUUAAAUUUUAUACUUUUUCGAUAUUAUUUACCACGUGAUCAAAAGGUCUCAAAACUGACUAUUUUAACGGUCGACGUGACACGUUUUUAAAUUCAAUAGUAUAGAACAAUCCAGAUUAUAUGAAACUUUAAUAAAAAAUUUUACUUAAUAUCAAAGUAAGAUCAAUACUUCUGGAUUAAAAUUUGAGCUUUUUAUUACUAUUUUUUAUGAAAUUUUUAUUUUCAGCCGUUUAUUCUCCAGGUUAUUUGUUCGCUAGACAAAUAAAGUCAAAAAAAUGUAAAAUUUAAUUUUUUAAUAGUUUCAAUAACGUAGAUCAUGUUUAACUGAAUCGAUCACUGAAACGGAUGUCCCGUCAUCGAAAAUAACUUUCAAGCGCAGAAGUCUCCGUGCGCUCAAAAACACGCCAUUCCGAACGUGAAAUUCCCAAAAUGCCCCUAUCCCCUUCCAAAGAGCGAGAGAGAGAGAGAGAGAGAGAGAGAGAGAGAGAGAGAGAGAUGGACCUCGUAAAGGCGAACGACAUUAGGGUGCCGGAGCAUCUUCAGCGUCCCAAUCUCCCUCUUUAUCUAAAACCAAAUUCAAAAAAAAUUUUCAAAAAUUUCAAAUCUCACAUACGUAUACAUGUAUGCCUAUAUGUAUGUAUGUAUGUAUGUAUGUACGUAGGCGUGUAGAGGUAGGUACCUGGUCGUGGAUUUUCAGGUCGGAGCCGACGCGGGAGCGGAGGAUGAUCUUGAGGGCGAACCCGGCGCCGCCGGUGUCGGCGCGCCGCGCCGCCUUCACCUUCGCGAAGCUUCCUUCGCCGAUCGUCCGCCCGAUCAGGUACGGCCCCACCCGCAUCGCCUCCCCUCCGUCCAUCUCCCCCCGGGCCAGCGCCGACCAAUGCCCUCGCGACACGUACGUGCGACCGCCCUUCACCGGUUUACUCCCCACCCGUGUAUAUGCGUCGGAGCGACGAGGAGGACGCGUGGACUUUGCGAUUCGGGACGAGCGUCGUUGCGGAGGAAUGUGUGUGGGGGCGUGUAGAGAGGGGUGGGGGAGCUCGGAGUGUUAUUUAUAGGCGAGAAUGAGCUGAAACCCACCCUCAACUGUUGUUCUUUCUGAAAUUGGCCCCUCAUAGUUGGGAUAUUUUCUUUUUACUAUUCCAUAUUUUAAAGUAGGCCAAUUUGCAUAAAAAAUCCACUAGUUUUGAGCCUUUGCAAAUGCGGACCACUAUCUGGGCCAGAUUUUUCGCUGUCUGACUAAAAUGCCCUUCGUCUACAUCCGUCUCGCUCGAAUUCGCUCAGAUACGUAUACCAUAAUGUACGGCCCCUGGGCGGGCAUUAAAUGCGCCUCGAGUAUGGUUACGCAACCUCCCAGUCAUCAGAAUGCGAACAAAAUCGGCCCUGUUAUUCGCCGCCUCUUGUGUUUGCUAUUUGGUUUUUAGAAAUUAAAUAUGUUGAAACUAUAUGGCAAAAACUACACAGCCAACAACAAGAAUAAUAGUGCAACAUGAAAGGUACAACGCAAAGAGAAAUGAUGCAACAAUCCUUCUAAUAGUGCAGCUUGUAGCUCGCACCAGUGCAAUUUUUGCCACUCACAGUGCAACGCGAACAUUCAAUCUUUUUCUUUACCAGGACAACAUCUUACUCUCCUGUUAGGCAGUCUUCCUCCUAAACUGUAAGACGCUCUCCUCACCAGCGUCCUAUGCUGAUAAACCCCUUGCCCUUGUAAGGGCAAUAAAUGCGAUGCUGGCAUUCAAUCUUCAAAAAAAUAUAAAAUAACAUCUAAUAUGCUUUCUUAAACUUGAAAAAUAUCUAACAUGCUUCCGGUCGACCAAAAUAUUCUUUUUAAUUUCCACAACUUUUUAAAAAUAUUCUCAAAUUUCUAGAAUUUACUAAUGGAAUUUGGAAAUAGAAGCGUAUAUUGGUAAUUUGUAGAUAUAUUUGAAAAUUUGAAGAAUAAUUAGAGGGCAAAUAAGAAAUAGCUCCACUAAAACAUAUUAGAAAUAUAUUCUUAGACUAGUUAAAAAUUAUAUAUUUUAGUAUAAUGACUGUACAAUAUUUUUAUAAUUAGCGAUAAUGUCCGAUUAUCAUGUUAAAAUUAGAAUAUUAAUAACUAAUACUGUAUUUUUAUGAUAAGAAUUAGUUUUAUUCGUAGAUUAUAUAUGAUAAAAUUUAAUUUGCUUUGAUUCUGUAUGUGAUGUUUGCAAUUGUUGGGUUAAUAAGAAUGAUAAUUUUGAUUAGUCUACUAAUAUAUUUCUAAUUUUUGGAAAUAUGAAAAAUAUUAAAAGUUAAUAAUUUAUUUUAUUUAGGUAAGCUAAAAGUUUCAUGGAACUAAUUCAGCCAAUAAAUUUUAAGAUUUAUUUAAAAUUUUAUAAAAUUGCCAAUACUAUUUAAUAAACUAUAGUUACUCAAUUUUACUAAAUAAAAAAAAUUAAAAGGUGUUGGCUUAAAAAAAAAAAGCUAAGUCAAAAGGAGGCUGUUUUGAAGAAUCCUAUAGUAGAGGGGGUCUUCGUGCAUUUUUACCUAUGAUUGGUGGUGGAUCAGGGGAGUGAGGUACAGUCACUCGUGGUGUACGAUCACCGCUUAUUGUUGCCGAUUUUAACGUGUUAAAAUUAAGGGAAAACUUCAAAAACCCCAUUGUGGUUUUACUUUUUUUCACUUUAGUACUCUGUGGUUUAAAAUGUAUCAAGUUAGUAUCUGUAUUUUCUCACUUUAUCACUUUAGUAUCCUGUGGUUUAAAGUGUACCAAGUUAGUAUCUUGUGGUUUUGCACUUUAUCACUUUAGUAUCAUGUGGUUUCGCACUUUAUCACUUUAGUACCCUGUGGUUUAAAAAUUAUAGGGUACUAACUUGAUACAAAAAUAAAACCAUAGGGUACUAACGUGAUACAAAAAUAAAACCACAGAGUACUAACUUGAUACACUUUAAACCACAGGAUUCUAGAGUGAUAAAGUGAGAAACCACAAGGUACUAACUUGAUACACUUUAAACCACAGGGUACUAAAGUGAAAAAGUGCGAAACCAUAUGGGGUUUUUUGAAGUUUUUCCUAAUAUUAAUGAUGAUCUGUUUCGUUAAAUAUAAUUCAUAAUAUAUAGAAUUUUGGGGAAUAAAAUUUUAAUUUUUUUAACAUCGUUUAUUUAUUUAGUAAGUAAAUCAUAUCAAAAUAAACAAUAAAAAUUGAGCAAAUUUUAAAAUUUGGUUAUAGGAUUUUUGAAUUAAGGAUCAAAGAUGUUGACCUUGAUCUAGAUAAUUUAAAGUAAUUACUACCAAAAUUUGAAUAAAUUAAAAUUUUUUACGCUGUCAAACUACAAACUCACGAUAAUAGCCAUUGAAAUUUGAUAAUUUUGAAAUGAUUUGAUCAUAAAGUAAACUAUGCGGAAAAAAAAUAAAAUUUUAUUUCUAGAAACUUCAAAAUAUCUCAUAUUAGUUUUAACGGUGUGGAUCAUUAAUUUACACAUUCUAAAAUUUAAAAAAAAAGAUUAUAAUUUUGGAACUCUGGUACUAUAGAUAGUAUAUGAGCCUAUAUAUAUAUAGAGUUCGGCUACUAUACUUUUAUGAGUUCGAUCGCCCUUAUACUCAUAAGUUGUUUUCGAUAAUAAAGCUUCCAUAUCAACAAUCCACAUCGUUGAACUUUAUUUAGAGCAUUUAAAACGCCUAGAAAUCAAAUUUUAUAAUUUUUCGGCAUCAUUUACCUUACGAUCAAAAGGUCACAAAAUUGACAAGUUUUAACAGCCGAUAUGGGAUAUUUGCUAGUUUAACGGUGUGAAAAAAUCGAAAUCGGUUGAAUUGUUGAUAAAAAGUCCUAUUCACUACAUAGAUAAAGAUCAAUAACUCCGAUCUUAAAUUGAAAGAUCCGAUCAUCCAUUUUUAAGAUAUCGUUUGAUUUUGACCGUUUAUUUUAUACCGCUUGAUGAACUUUAUUAUGAUUUCGAAAAAUUACGAAAUUUAUUUUCUAGAAGUUUUAAAUACUGUAGAUCAUAUUUAACGGAGUUGAUCGUUGAUUCGAAAGCUCUAUCAUUAAAAAUAAUUUAUGAGUAUGAAGGGCUCUAUACUUAUAAGAGUAUAGUAGCCCUAGCUAAUAUAUAUAUAUAUAUAUAUAGAGAGAGAGAGAGAGAGAGAGAGAGAGAACUGAGCUCCUAUGCUUUUAAAAGUACCAAGUUAUUGGUGCUUGUAGAUUUGUAGCCAUUAGAUUAAGAGAUAUGCGAUUAGAAUGAUGUGGGCCUCCUAGGGUUGAGUGGGUGGUUGGUUGAAUAGUAUAAUCUAAUGGUUGAAAAUGAUCCGAGAAGUAGAUCUAACGGUAAAAAACUUACAAGCACNAUAUAUAUAUAUAUAUAUAUAUUCCACACACCAUUAGGCGGUGAGGAUACCGCGUGGGUGGUGUUAGUGGGUGAGAAUAAGACAAAAGAUAUAAUAGAAAAAAAAUAUUUUUAAAUUACAACAAAUAUUGAAUUAUCCUUAUAUACAGUAACUAGUUGUUCUAUUUUAUUUUUUAUUUUUUUUCGUUGAAUUCGGUUUAGGGGCAGAAACGAGCCGAGUCUGAGUGAGCUUAAUUUGACUUGAAAUUAAUUUCGAACCUAAAUUUAGGCUUAAGCUUGACAUGAAAUUGAUUUGAACCCAGCUCAGGCGAGCCUACUUUUGAGUUGAGCGUGAUCAAACUCUAAAUGAGUCGCUUAAAAUGCUCAAUAUCAUGCUAUCUAUAGUUUAAUUUUUAAUAAAAAAUUAUCUAAAAUUUGGUAGAAAAACACAUCUAAUAGUUUAAUACAUAAAAUAAAAGCCUGAAUAUGCUAUUAUAAUAUUAAGAAAAAUAAUUUAGGAUAAGCGACUAUGCGAGUAAGUGAAAGAGAGGGAGAGAGAGAGAUUAAAGUUUUACUGAUUUAGUAUUGUGGGCCAACAAAUAUAUAUGCCCAAUAACCAAAAUUCUAUAUACAUAUAAUUAAAAUUAUAUAUAUAUAUAUAUAUAUAUAUNUAUAUAUAUAUAUAGUCCAGCUAUGGUGCUUGUAAAAGUACCAAAUAUUUGGUGCGUGUAAGUUUUUUACCGUUAGAUCUACUCGGAUCAUUUUCAACCAUUAGAUUAUACUAUUCAACCAACCACCCACUCAACCCUAGGGGGCCAACAUCAUCCUAACCGCAUAUCUCUUAAUCCAAUGGCUAAAAAUCUACAUGCACCAAUAACUUGGUACUUUUAAAAGUAUAGGAGCUCAAUUAUAUAUAUAUAUAUAUAUAUAUAUAUAUAAUUAAAAUAUGUUAUAUAUAAUUAUAUAUAUUUAUACAUAUUUUUAUAAUAUAUAUAUAGAGAGAGAGAGUGCAGCUGCUAUACUAUUGGCGACACUAAACGCUUUGUGUUAUUAAGUUUUCCGUCAGUAGAUCUAUCAUUUGACCAUUUCCAUCCGUUAGAUCAUAAUAUUCAACCAACCACCCACUCAAUCCAAAAGGACCACAAUCAUUCUAACAGCACAUCCUUUCAUCCAAGAGCUGAAAAUUUAAUAGCAUCAAUAACUUGGCGUUAUCAAUCGUACAGUAGCCUAAUUCUAUAACAUCAAUAGUAUAUAUAUAAAACUAGAGUACUAUACUAUUGAUAGCACCAAGCUAUUGAUGCUAUUAGGUUUUCGACCUUUGGAUGAAGGGAUGUGCGGUUAGGAUGAUAGUGGUACCCUAAAAUUGAGUAGGUGGUCAGUUGAAUAUUAUAAUCUAACAUGUAAAAAUGGUCAAAUAGUAGAUCUAAUGACGAAAAACUUAAUAGCACCGAGCAAUUGGUACUAUUGAUAGUAUAGUAGCUGAACUCUCUCUCUCUCUCUCUCUAUAUAUAUAUUCAAACUUUUUGAGUCUAAUUCGAGUGAACUUAGUAAUACUUAAGCUCGGCUUGAAAUAAAUUUUGAAUUUUUUUUUGUUCAAAUUCGGCUUAUUUAAUUUGGAGUAGAGCUCGAGUGAGCUGAAAUCGAGCCGCACACAAGCCGACUUGCUCAUUUGCCAACCCUAACUUGGCUUAAGUUUUUUAAUUUAAUAAAAAUACUAGUGGAGGAUCGAAUGUCUAACCAACCAUUCAGAUCCAUGAUAAAUUUGAAGACUAACAGCUCAAAUUUUUAAAAUUAAUAAUUAGUGCCAACAAAUAAUUAAUUAUUAAUAUUUAAAAUUUAAAAUCUAAUUCAGUAAAUCGUAUUUGUAUCAUCUAAAAAAAUUAUAUAUUUUAAAAUUUAUUAAUAAUGCGUCCAGCGGUUUUAGAAAUCAAUUGUAGAAAAGGACCCUCAUCUAAAUUGCAAGAUUCAGUGUAUAGAAUACAUAAUUUUAUAAAUAUAUAUAAAAUAUCAUAAGAUAUUUCCAGUAAGUUUUUGGUCAGUACACAGAGAAUGAUUUAGCUACGCAUGAUCUAAUCAUUUCUAAAUUGUUUCUUACUAAAUUAUUUUUUGUCACUUUACAUAUGAAUGCUUAUGACCUAAGAAUUUGAAGCAAUGUGCAUUGUGAAUUCUAUUUAAAAUAUGUAUUAAGACUCCUCAACCAUAAGGAAUUUUCAAAUAGUAUAUAUUUUUUUUAUUGAGAUUUCCUCACCUUUUUUCAAAUUCUUUUUAUUGUUCAGGGAUGUUAACAAAUAAAUUGAUUGACAAUUUUUUAAUUAACUUGGAUUAGGAAACUGCUAAUAGCUUAUUAAGGCAGAGUCUUAAAACAUGUUGGAUCGUUGGCGCUAACCGUUAAUCCCAAAAAUUCGAACGGUUAAAAAUACACAACCAAUUCACUUAAAGUAUAAAAUAUAAUAUUUACGGAUAUCGAUUGUGACUCGGCCUAACCAGCCUCACACCAUUUUGAACAUGACUCGACUCAAUCCAGCUCCACACCAUUUCGAACGUGACUCGGUCUAAUUUGGCCUUCCACUAUAAGGUAGGAUGUUGGCCUAUUUAAGCCCACAACAAAAAAACGUUUAACUUAAUUAACUGUGAAAACUCAAAGUAAAAAAAUUUGAAGUUAAAAAGAUGUCAGCUAAAAAAAAAAAAAAGGGGGGGGGAAGAGGAGGCUAUUUCAGAAUGACUUAUAGUUGAGGGGGUUUUUCAUACUUUUUUCUAACUUCUAAUUUACAAAACAAAGUAUUUAAAUAACUAGCUAGGUUUCAAUAUGGAUUUUGGAACUAUAUGUUAACAAAUAGUUAAUGUAGGAAUCUCUCAAAAAAAUAAGUAAUGUAGGGGUCCUCUCUAUUUUCAACAUGAUUAUCAUGAUGUGAUUGUGUGAAUUGAGAGAUACUUAAUCCCAUGUAAACCAAACUUUUUAAAAUCUGUUUCCACUGUGCAUAAAGCAUCAUUUAUUAAUAUCUAAGAUGCUGAAAAUAGGAGUUUAAUUCUAUUAUGCCAAAGUACAAGGGGAGAUGGAACCACCGACCUCAAAGAUGUUAAUGUGGGUAUAGUUUUCAAACUGGCAAGGACCAAUAAUAGACACUUUUAAAAUAAAGUUAAGAUUAUUUUCGAGAGGUAAUAAUCUUUAUUUCAUUUCAGCAAGAUCAAUAUAUAUAUUUGAUCGAAAAUUUUAACGCUAUAUCACCACUUUUUAUGAGAUUUUUAUUUUUAGCCGUUGAUUUUGAACCCUUUCGAUCGCUAGGAAAAUGAUACUGAAAAAUCACAAAAAAUAUUUUCUAGCUCCAUCAUUAAAAACGGCUUAGGAGCACGGAGGCCUCCGUGCUCCUAAUAGCAUACAAGACCUACUAUAUAUAUAUAUAUAUAUAUAUAUAUANNNNNNNNNNNNNAAAUGCAAUUGUUCGGUUUUCCACAAUUUUUGAUUUGGGACCCACAAAAAGAAUUUGUGGGAUUUGUUUCCAUUUAAGCAAUUGUGGAUGGUAUUUAACCACACGACAAGUAUGUAAAUCGACAAUCUAUUAUUAAUUACUUACAUUGUGAGAUCACUCCACCUGAUUUUUUUUGUCUAAUGAUCCUUAAAUGCAUUCAAAUUAAUGGUGGUAUUAUUAUUUUUGACAAGCAACAUGCUUUCGCAUAGCCCCACUAUCAACUAAACAUUGUUUUCAACCAUGUGUUAUUGGCUAUUUGAAGCCUCAGUUGCAUGUCAUUAUCUAUAUCUUGUGUGAUUCUAUAUAUAUAUAUAUAUAGUCCGUCUCCCAUACUUUCGAAAGUACGGGAGACUCCGUGCUUGUAAGUUGUUUUCGAUGAUAGGACGUUCGAUUAAUUCGACGAUCGGCUCCGUUAGGUAUGAUCUACCCUAUUGAAACUAUCUAGAAACCAAAUUUUAGAUUUUUUUGACAUCAUUUACUAAGCGAUCAAAAUGUCUAAAAAAUGAUUAUUUUAACGGUCGAUGUGGCACAUUUUUAAGUUCAACGGUUUAGAAGUAUCCAAAUUAAAUGAAAAUUUAAUAGCACACAAGACCUACUAUAUAUAUAUAUAGUAGGUGCUUGUAAGUUUUUUACCGUUAGAUCUACUCCUCGAAUCAUUUUCAACCAUUAGAUUAUACUAUUCAACCAAACACCCACUCAACCCUAGGGAGCCCACAUCAUCCUAACCACACAUCUUUUAAUCCAAGGGCCGAAAACUUACAAGCACCAAUGAUUUUGUACUUUUAAAAGCAUAGGAGCUCAAUUCUAUAUAUAUAUAUAUUAUAUUAAUAUAUAUAUAUAUAGUUUGAGUUAGAAUAUUAUCGAUAGCAAACGAGUUCUGUUGCCACCAUUUGUUUUCGAUGAUAGAGCCUCCAAAUCGACGAUCGCACAUUAACAUGAUCUAUACCACUUGAAGUGUUUAGAAAUUAAAUUUCAAAUCUUUUCGACAUCAUUUGCCUAAUGAUCAAAAUGUUUCAAAAUUUAUAAUUUUAAUGGUCGAUAUGAGGCGUUUUCUCGUUUAACGGUGUAAAAAUAUCCAAAUCAAUUAAAUUUUUGUUAGAAAAUUCUUUAAACUAUUUAAAACAAGAUCUAUACUCUUGAUCUUGAUUACAAGACUCCUAUCAUCAUUUUUUAAAGAAUAUUUAUUUUCAGCCGUUCAUUUUUGUGUCCACUCGAUGAAUAAGAGAAUAAUAUCGGAAAUGUAUGAAAUUUAAUUUCUAAACACUUCAAGUGGUAUAGAUCACAUACAACGGUGCCGAUCAUCGAUUUGAAGGCUCCAUCAUAAAAAACAAAUGGAUUGCAACGGAGCUUGUUUGCUAUCGAUAGUAUUCUAGCUCAACUCUAUAUAUAUAUAUAUACUUUAUAAAAUAAUAUUAAAAUUUUAAAAAAUAAAUUAAAAACAUUUAAGCGUUUUGGGUCGAGCGUCGUGCUAGAUUUUGGACCGAAGAAUGAUGGCUCGGCCCAACGUGGCCUGUAUCUGGAUCCGAACAGUAUCAAGCCGCCUCUAGAUUAGGACGUUCUUGUCCGGCACGGUCCACGCUACACCCCUACUCUUUUAUUAUUAAGAUCUUAACUCCGGUCCCCCUUCCCCAACUAAUUAACCUACCCUUUGAUUUGUGUGUCCAUUUAAUAAUCAAUUCUUUGCCCUGCAAUUUGAAGGACAUUACAUGUAAAUGGAUUGCCAUUAGACAAAUUAAGCUCCUAUACUUUCCACAACUACACACUAUUCCUUAGACCUAGUGUAGCAUAGUCGUGCCAUUGAUCGCUCGCUGUUUGACAGUAAAUGUUAAACAUAAGAUAGAUUAUUAGAGAGUUGAUAGCUGACAUGGCGAACUAGUUCUAGAUAAUAAUUUCGUACCUAGCACAACAUUAAAAAGUGGCAUAGCCCGUAAACAGUACAAAAGAAACAGAUAAAUACUGACUGUACCUAGCGCAAGUGGUAAAGAAUUUGGUGGUUGAUAUCCGAGGUUCUAAGUUCGAAUUCUAGUUGAUUCACAUUUCCAGCUAAAUUUAUUUCUAAAUGAAAUAAACAAACCGGAUAAUAUGCUAUCUAUCUCUCUCAAGAAAAAAAAAAGACUCUGAUAAAGGAUAGUAAUUUCAACCACUAACUCACCAACACGAUCGGAAUUGCAAAGUACAUAAGUUAAUGGUUGUUAAUGUCCAUAUAUAACUUAAUGAGACUAAUUCAACCCACUAACCCUUUGACACGCCUAAUUUUUUUUUUUAUCUCUCAUUAAUUGAUGCACUCUUUAUCUACUCCAACAUCUUUCAAUGAAUGAGAUGGAAAGGACCUCUACAAAAAAUAUAAUUUUUUCCGAUUAAAUUAAAGCUCAAUUCUCUUGCUAUAUAAAGAGUAAUGAACAUGUAACUCAAGCUAUGCAAUUGUAGCAAAAACAUGGGUUUUGUGGUGACCAAGUCUAAACCUUUCUUAGUUGCCCCAUCAAAACCAACCCCUAGGGGGAAACUCCCUCUCUCUCCGAUUGACAAGAUCCAACUUUUGAGAUCCUUUCUUAUUCCAUCAAUACAUGUUUUCGCGCAUGGCGGCAGAGGCAACGACGUUGAGAUAGUUAAGACGAUAAGGCAGGCAGCAUCGGAAGCACUAGUUCUGUAUUACCCGCUUGCGGGUCGGCUCGUGGAUGUAGAGGGCAGGGACCUCUACGUUGAGUGCACCGGAGAAGGAGUAGGCUUCGUCGAGGCGUCGGUGGAUUGUAGCUUGGAGAAUGCGAAUUUCUUGGAACACCCUUCUGUGAUCUCGUUGGAAGAGCUCGCAGUAGAUCAUCGCGGUUGGAAAGUAACUGAUCCCCCUGUCAUUAUGCAGGUAUAGUAUGACUACAUAUGCUGUAAAUAGUGGCGUGAAAGUGCAGUUGUCAGUUCUGAAUCAAAGUACAAAUGAAUUCGAUUGAAUCUUCAAUCAUCAGUUUGCUAGUGUAUUCUUCACCUAUAUAUUGUACAUUAUUCGCGUGCACGAGUCCUCCAUAAUCUCGCAAACUUGGACCGUUCGAGCCCAAAUCAUAAUGGGUGCAUGGGCUCGAUGUCAUUGUUAGGCCCGGUCUGGAAUUAAAACAAGUCGGGUUUGGAUUUGGAUUUCGUUCUCAAAAACCUGGCUCGAGGCCUAUGAUGAUCAAGUCUCUUAAUUUAUGAGUAAUCUCUUUUGGUGUGUUUUGUUAGUAAGCUUGCAUAUUACUUACUUUCACCAUGCUUAGGUAACCGAAUUCACUUGUGGCGGAUUCGCCGUCGGCUUUACAUGGCACCACUCACUCGCCGACGGCAUUGGAGUCGCGCAAUUCUUGAAUGCCGUAGGUGAGCUCGCUCGGGGCCUCCCGCGCCCGACCAUCGACCCGGUUUGGGCCAGGGGUUCUCUCCUCGAUCUUCGCCCAAAUAUUUCCUCAUUACCUUCAUCGACUCCGAACUUACUCGAGUUGGAGUGCGCCGAGCUGAACGUGCCCUUAGAUUACAUCAAUCGAACUAAGGAAAACUUCUUUCGCCAAACUGGGCAAUCGUGCACCGCAUUUGAUGUGGCCUUGGCCACAAUUUGGCAGUUUCGAACACGGGCAAUAGGCUUAGAACCUACCGAACCAGUGCGGGUGUAUUUCGCGGUGAAUGUUCGCGAAAUGCUACAAGCUCAACCUGGCUACUACGGAAAUAGCAUUUUCUUCCAAACUAUCUCAUCGACUAGUCAGGAGAUUGCAGAGGCACCCACGGUUGAGAUUAUUAAAAUCAUUAGAUAUGCCAAGGGUACGAUUUCGACCGAACUAGCUAAAUGGAAGAAGGGCUUACUGAAAGACAGCCCUAUGCAGUAUGUUGAUCUCAGCUACAGCACGCUUGGCAUAACUUAUUGGAAAAAUUUAGGGUUCGAGCACGUCGAUUAUGGAUCGGGUAAGCCGCUUUGGGUAACCGUACAUAACGAAUAUAAAUUCAUCUCCUUCUGCAUGCUAGGCUUACCGUAUACUCGCAAAAAUGGGGUUUAUAUAAAUGGGCGCAUUGUUAAGAAGGAGCACUUAGAGGCAUUACGCGAAGAAAUGAAGCUGCUAAAAUAAUUUCAGCGGAAAGAGAUUUUUCAUCACCAAUAAUACGAAUAUUUUGUACCGACGAAUUAGUUCGAUCGCCUUACGAUCAGAAAUUAAUAAAUGCCUUGUAAUUUUUAGGGAUUCUCUAUAUAACUCUGUAAAAGGAGUACGUGCACGCAUAUAUGCAUGGCAUGCACAUUUAUGUAUCUAAUAUAUAUUUUAUUUGUAGCACACAAAAAUUUAAAAAAAANNNNNNNNNNNNNNNNNNNNNNNNNNNNNNNNNNNNNNNNNNNNNNNNNNNNNNNNNNNNNNNNNNNNNNNNNNNNNNNNNNNNNNNNNNNNNNNNNNNNNNNNNNNNNNNNNNNNNNNNNNNNNNNNNNNNNNNNNNNNNNNNNNNNNNNNNNNNNNNNNNNNNNNNNNNNNNNNNNNNNNNNNNNNNNNNNNNNNNNNNNNNNNNNNNNNNNNNNNNNNNNNNNNNNNNNNNNNNNNNNNNNNNNNNNNNNNNNNNNNNNNNNNNNNNNNNNNNNNNNNNNNNNNNNNNNNNNNNNNNNNNNNNNNNNNNNNNNNNNNNNNNNNNNNNNNNNNNNNNNNNNNNNNNNNNNNNNNNNNNNNNNNNNNNNNNNNNNNNNNNNNNNNNNNNNNNNNNNNNNNNNNNNNNNNNNNNNNNNNNNNNNNNNNNNNNNNNNNNNNNNNNNNNNNNNNNNNNNNNNNNNNNNNNNNNNNNNNNNNNNNNNNNNNNNNNNNNNNNNNNNNNNNNNNNNNNNNNNNNNNNNNNNNNNNNNNNNNNNNNNNNNNNNNNNNNNNNNNNNNNNNNNNNNNNNNNNNNNNNNNNNNNNNNNNNNNNNNNNNNNNNNNNNNNNNNNNNNNNNNNNNNNNNNNNNNNNNNNNNNNNNNNNNNNNNNNNNNNNNNNNNNNNNNNNNNNNNNNNNNNNNNNNNNNNNNNNNNNNNNNNNNNNNNNNNNNNNNNNNNNNNNNNNNNNNNNNNNNNNNNNNNNNNNNNNNNNNNNNNNNNNNNNNNNNNNNNNNNNNNNNNNNNNNNNNNNNNNNNNNGUCAACUCACACAUCCUCAUUGAAAGUUCCCUACAUUAUCAGAUCAAAUCAUUAUUCACAAGCUACUUGAUGUGGUAAAUUAGAAAAGAAACUAAAUUAAAAAAGAAAUAACACUUAGGCCUCAUUUCGAAUGCACCCUCUGAGCGCAACCACUUUGAUUCUUUAGAGUCCGAAGUCUCCAAAAUCCCCAAAUUCCCACUGCCAUUUUGUAAAGCAGUGGAGCUCUAAAGCGCUUUAGGGAUUUUGGGGGCUCCAAAGCAUCAAAAUGAAUGUGUUUCAAGAUCGAAAUACGAACUAGGACUUAAACUCACAGUUUUCUCCACCCCGGCGCACUUGAAGAGGGCAUUGCCAUGCUCGCUGGGGGAAAGGGAUUUGGUGGCAGGUGGGAGAGGGCGGCGUCGAGGGAUCGGAGGACUGAGAGACAGUGGCCGAGGAUGAGGGCGACGUCAAGGCUGCGGCAACGACGGUUUCAACCCACUAACUCACCAACCCGAUCUGAAUUGCAAAAAUAUAUAACUUAAUAGUUGUUACUUGUCGGUGUCUGUUUGGCCUAGAUUCUGAAUAAUGAAAAAAAUUAUUUGUCCUUAACCUAGCAAUACACAACCAACAUUAUUAUAUCUUGCAAUCAGGCAAGAAAAAAUUUUAAUUUAAUUUAUAAUCUUAGUUUUCAGAUAUAUAUGUACGGACUUAAACCUUUUGUUAGAUCCAACUCAAAUACGUAUCCUACACCCUUUAACACCCUUAUUUUUUUUAUGACGAAAAUGACUUUCUCCCUCUUCACUUUCGCCCAACCACCAUUCAAUGAAUGUGAUGAAACCAAAAAAUAAAAAUUCUUUUGAUUAAAUUACUAUAUAAAGAGUAAUGAACAAGUAACUCAAGCAAUGCAAUACUAGCAAAAACAUGGGUUCUGUGGUAACCAAGUCUAAACCUUUCUUAGUUGCCCCAUCCAAACCAACCCCUAGGGGGAAACUCCUCUUCUCUCCAAUUGACAAGAUCCAAAUUUUGAGAUCCUUACUUGUUUCAUCUGUACAUGUUUUCGCACACACGGACGGCGGCGGCAGCGUUGAGAUUGUUAAUACGAUAAGACAGGCAAUAUCGGAAGCUCUAGUUCUGUAUUACCCGCUUGCAGGUCGACUCGUGGAUGUAGGGGACGGGGACCUCUACAUUGAAAGCACUGGAGAAGGAGUAGGCUUUGUCGAGGCAUCGGCGGAUUGUAGCUUGGAGGAUGUGAAUUUCUUGAAGCACCCUUCUGUGAUCCCGUUGGAAGAGCUGGUAGUAGAUCAUCGCGGUUGGAGAGUAACCGAUCCUCCCGUCGUUAUGCAGGUUUCGUAUGAAUACAUGGGUUCAUUAAUUCCUUAACUGCGUGAAAAGAGUUGUAAAUAGUGGCGUGAUAAGUGUAGUUGUUAGUUCUAGUUAGAGUACAAAUGAAAUAAGUCAUAAAUAAAUUAGAUUGAGUCUUCAAUCGUGUGUUUACUAGUUGAUUCACAUUUUUAGCUAAAUUUAUUUCUAAAUGAAAUAAACGAAACGGGUAGCGUGCUACCUAUAUAUAUUUAUGACUAAUCUUUUGGUGUAUUUGCAUAGAUAACCAAAUUCACCUGCGGCGGAUUCGCCCUCGGCUUUGCAUGGCACCACUUACUCGCCGAUGGCACCGGAGCCGCGCAAUUCUUGAAUGCCGUAGGCGAGCUCGCCCGCGGCCUCCCACACCCAACCGUCGACCCGGUUUGGGCCAGGGAUUCUCUCCUCGAUGUUCCCCCGAAAAUGUCCUCAUUACCUUUAUCGACUCCGAACUUACUCCAGUUAGAGUACUCCGAGCUGAACAUUCCCUUAGAUUACAUCAAUCGAACUAAGGAAAACUUCUUUCGACAAACUGGGCAAUCGUGCACCGCAUUUGACGUGGCCUUGGCCACAAUUUGGCAGUGUCGAACACGGGCAAUAGGCUUAGAACCUACCGAACCAGUGCGGGUGUAUUUCGCGGUGAAUGUUCGCGAAAUGCUACAAGCUCAACCUGGCUACUACGGAAAUAGCAUUUUCUUUCAAACCGUUUUAUCGACUAGUCAGGAGAUUGCAGAGUCACCCAUGGUUGAGAUUAUUAAAAUCAUUAGAUCUGCCAAGGGUACAAUUUCGACCGAACUAACUAAAUGGAAGAGGGGCUUACUGAAAGACAGUCCAAUGGAGCAUGUUGAACUCAGCUACAACACACUGGGCAUAACUUAUUUGAAAAAUUUAGGGUUCGAGCACGUUGAUUAUGGAUCGGGAAAGCCGCUUUCGGUGACCGUACGUAAUGAAUAUAAAUUCGUCUCCUUCUGCGUGCUAGGUUCACCGCAUACUCGCGAAAAUAGGGUUUACAUAAAUGGGCGCAUUGUUAAGAAGGAGCACUUAGGGGCACUACGCAAAGAAAUGGAGCUGUUAAAAUAAUUUCAGAGGAAAGAGAUUUUUCAUCACCAAUAAUACGAAUGUUUUGUAUCGACGAAUUAGUUCGAUCGACUUACGAUCAGAAAUUAAUAAAUGCCUUGUAAUUUUUAGGGAUUCUCUAUAUAACUCUGUAAAAGGAGUACGUGCACGCAUAUAUGCAUGGCAUGCACAUUUAUGUAUCUAAUAUAUAUUUUAUUUGUAGCACACAAAAAUUAAAAAAAAAAAUGAAAUUUGUUAUGGUAAUUACUUGUGUUUAUUUCUUUGCUUUACAAUUAAUAGAGGAAUUUCAAAACUAUAUGCUUAAAUUCAACAUCAUAAAGCAUACCCAAUAUGCAUGUGUAACACACGUACGUACCCAACUAUUUAUUUCAUUAACGGGCUUGGAUUUGGAUUUAGUUCUCAAAAGCCUGGCUCAAGCCCGGCCCGGCCCGGCUCAUGAAGAGGUUUAUUUAUGCCUAAUCUUUUGCAAUAUUUUGUUAAUUAGUGAGCUUACAUAUUAGUUAAUUUCGCUAUGCUUAGGUAAAGGCAUGGCACCAUGCACUCACUUGCCGACGGCAUUGGAGACGCGCAAUUCUUGACCGCCGUUGGCGAGCUAGCUCGUGAUCGAUCGUCGGCCUGGUUUGGGCCAGGGAUUCACUCCUCGAUCUUUCCCGGAAAUUUUCCUUGUUACCUUUAUCAACUCCGAACUUACUUUAGUUAGAGCACACCGAGCUAACCUAACCAUAUCAUUAGAUUACAUCCAUGGAACGAAAGAAAACGACUUUCCACAAACCCUGCAAUCAACUUAAGAGAUCUAGUGGUGAAUUUCAUUAGGCCAUUAUAUAUGGGGGUUAACAUAUAUAUAUAUAUAGUGAGAGAGAGAGUUAGUCUCCUAUACUAUCUAUAAUACCGGAGCUCCAAUACUAUAAUUUCGUUUAUGAUCUCCCAUAUAUACAUAUAUAAAAUAAAGGUAAACAUGUACGAAGGCCCUCAACCAUAAGAAAUUUUGAAAUAGUAUAUAUUUUUUAUUGAGAUUUCCUCCUCUUUUCUUUUCAAUUUUUUUAGAGUUGAGGUAUCUUAGCCAAAUAAAUUGAUUGAUAAUUUUUUUUAUCAAAUUGGAUUAACUAACUGCUAAUAGCUUAUUGAGGAGAAUUCAAAAAACGUUUAACUUAAUUAACUGUGAAAACUCAAAUUAAAAAAUAAAAAUGAAGUUAAAGAGGUGUCAGCUAGGGGUGUAAACGAGCCGAACACGAGCGAGUUAGGGCCGGCUCAUAUUCGGCUCGUUGCAUAAAGAGUUAAAAGAUUAAAAUUAAAGAAUAUAUAUAGAAAAUAAAUUUACGAGAUCUUAUCGAUUAGAUUUUGAUAUAAUAGUUAAAACUUUACACAUAAUUAAAUAGACAUUUUUAUCAUUGAGUUGAGUUUUAUAUUUAGGUUAGCCUAGAAUCAAAUAGUAAAAAUCUAAAUUAUAUAAAUAAUUAUUUAUUUAUAUUAUAUUUAAAUAAAUUAUAUAAAUAUAAAAUAAAUAUAUUCAAGCUGUUAUCGAACCGAACAUAAGCAAGUUAACCACGUACAACUCGUGUUUGACUCGUUAUUAAACGAGUUGAAAAAUUAAGUUCAUAUCCGACUCAUUUACUAAAUGAUCAAUUCGAUUUCGAGCUCAUUUCGUGCCGAACGCGAGCUGGCUUGCAAACAACAAACUAGAUUGCCACCCCUAGUGCCAUACAGCCAGAAAAAAAAGAGGACAAAACUAAAGGUGAGGGGGCUCUUUCAGAAGGACUUAUAGUUGAGGGUGAUACUUUUGUUUUAACUUAUAAUUUGCAAAACAAUGUAUUUAGAUACCCUCCAAAUGGGUUUCAAUAUGGAUUUUGGAACUGUACGUAUGUUAUUAAAUAAUUAAUGUAGGGUCCUCUCUAUUUUCAACAUGAUUAUCAUGAUUUGAUUGUCUGAAUUGAGGAAUCCUAAUCCAAUGUAAACCCAACUUCUUAAGAUCUUUUUCCACCAUGAAUAAAGCAUUAAUUGUUAAUUAGUGUUUUUUUUUUUCCCUAUUCGGAAUUUGUUGUACGCACGUCUUUGCAGUAAAUAGUAAAAAUAUUCCGUGUUAUCAUUUUUUUUUCAACUUUAUAAAUGAUUAUCUUUGUAAUUCAUAUUUAUUUUAUUACUAAAUUGUUUAUUUUUACUAUUAAUUAUACAUGUUAUUUUCAAGCAGGAUCUUCCGGACCUUAUCAUCGACUUGAGUGGAUUUUCAAAGUGGCACAAUGGGGCUUAAGGACUUAGAAUUUAAGAUUUUUAGGUAUUUAGUAUCAUUUAGAAUUUGUUAUUGUUUGGCUAAAAUCAAACAAGUUCUUUGUGUCGGAACUUAUAUCCGAAAUUUAAUUUGAAUAUUGGGAUUCUAAUUGGAGAGUUAAGACUGUUUAUUAUAAAUUAUUAAUGCUCUUUGGUUAUGACUAUUUUUAAAUAUUUCAAUUCAUUGGAGUACUUUUUUGUGAAUGAAGCAUUUUAGUAUUAAAUACAAUUGCCGCUAUAAUUCUUAUUUAACAAUCAUUUAGUAUAUAUUUUAUGGCAAUUAUAUUUAAUUAUAGCGGCAUUUAUAAUAGUUGUUGAACAAUUAUUUAGUAUAUAUUUUGUGACAAUUAUAAUUAAUUAUAGCGGCAUGUAUAAUAGUUGUUGUUGGGUAGUAUUUAGCGGCAUUUAUUUAGAUUUUUACCAACCGUCAGAACAAAUACCACAAUACCUUUUACCGACCCUACCAAUAGCGGCAAUUGUCAUAAUUGUCAUAAAACAAUUUAGCAGCAAUUAUAAUUGGGUAGAUGAAGGGUUUUUCUCUAAUAGCUCAUGAAGAUGUAUGUAUGCUCUAGCCUAUAUAUAUAUAUAUAUAUAUAUACUAUAUAUAUAAUAUAUAUAUAAUAUAUUAUAAUAAUAUAUAUAUAUAUAUAUAAUAUAUAUAUAUUGCAGGUUUUGACCUAACUAUUUUUUAUUAAUUCUCAUGAUACUCAAAGGAAAGUGAUUUGGAGAUCAAAUUCCACAUAAAAUUGUAUAAAAAAAAUAAAUUCUUUUUUAAAAGUAGUAUAUUUUUGUAACGACUCAAAUUUUGAAAUUAAUGAUUAGCAUCAAUGAUCUGGUGUAGAGGACAUGUUUGAAUUCCGGGUAGGUGCAAUCCAGUUCGCUGUUCCGCCAGAGCCAGAGGAGGGGGGGGUAGGAAGGAAAAGGAGGCGGAGGGGGGGAGAGGGAUGUGAGGAGAACCAGACUUCGAUGGGGCAACAAGAGAGGCAGAGAACACGUCAGGGGGAGGAGGAGGGUCGGGGGAAUAGAGAGACAAGCUGAAGAGAGGAGCGAGCGCGUCAGGUACGGCCGGGGCAGUUUCAACAACUACAAUACAAUCACAUCAAUAAAUUAGUAUCUUAUUAUAUGAGUGUAUCAAUUGUGAAUAUAAUUAGUUAAUAUUCUACUGAUUUGAUUAUUUGUCCUUAACCUAGCAAUACACAACCAACAUUAUUAUAUCUUACAAUCAGGCAAGAAAAAAAUUUAAUUUAAUUUAUGAUCUUAGUUCUCAGAUAUAUAUAUGUACGGACUGAAACCUUUUGUUAGAUCCAAGUCAAAUACGUAUCCUACACCCUUGAACACCCUUAUUUUUUUUAUGGCGAAAACGAUUUUCUCCCUUUUCACUUUCACGGCCACUUCCAUCCAAAACAAACAUGCCCUAAUUGAUGUACUGAUCUUUAUGUACCCAAACAUCAUUCAAUGAAUGUGAUGCAAGGACCACCAAAAAAUAAAAAUUCUUUUGAUUAAAUUAAAGCUCAAUUCUCUUUUACUAUAUAAAGAGUAAUGAACAUGCAACUCAAGCUAUGCAAUUGUAGCAAAAACAUGGGUUUUGUGGUGACCAAGUCUAAACCUUUCUUAGUUGCCCCAUCAAAACCAACCCCUAGGGGGAAACUCCCUCUCUCUCCAAUUGACAAGAUCCAAAUUUUGAGAUCCUUACUUCUUUCAUAUAUACAUGUUUUCGCACACAGCGACGACGGCGGCAGCGUUGAGAUAGUUAACACGAUAAGACGGGCAAUAUCAGAAGCACUAGUUCUGUAUUACCCACUUGCAGGUCGACUCGUGGAUGUAGGGGACGGGGACCUCUCCAUUGAAUGCACUGGAGAAGGAAUAGGCUUCGUCGAGGCAUCGGCAGAUUGUAGCUUGGAGGAUGCGAAUUUCUUGGAGCACCCUUUCGUGAUCCCGUUGGAAGAGCUCGCAGUAGAUCAUCGUGGUUGGAGAGUAACCGAUCCUCCCGUCAUUAUGCAGGUUUCGUAUGACUACAUGGGUUCAUUAAUUCCUUAAUCGAAGAGAGUUGUAAAUAGUGGCAUGAUAACUGUAGUUGUUAGUUCUGAUCAAAGUACAAAUAAAAUAAGUCAUAAAUGAAAUAGAUUGAGUCUACAAUCCUUUGUUACUAGUGCGCCAUUCACUUAUAUUGUACAUUGUUUGCGUGCAUGAGUCCUCCAUAAUCUCCCAAACUUGUUAUCCUUUCAACAAUUAUUUCAAGUCAUUUAUUGGUUAAUUUACAUUAAUAUAUGUUAUGCUUAGAUCUAAGCAUGGGCCGAGAGGCUGACUUGGACCGCUCGAGCCCAAAUCAUAAUGGGUGGUCUUGGGGUUCAUUUCUUGUUAGGCCCAGCCCAGAAUAUAAACGAGUCUUAUAUUGUUUGGAUUUGGAUUUGGAUUUAGCUCUCAAAAACCUAGCUCGAGCCCGGCUUGGCCUAUGAACAGGUCUAUUUAUGACUAAUCUCAAAUUAAUUGGUGUAUUUUGUUAGUAAGCUUACAUAUUACUUACUUUCACCAUGCAUAGGUAACCAAAUUCACCUGCGGCGGAUUCGCCGUCGGCUUUACAUGGCACCACUCACUCGCCGAUGGCACCGGAGCCGCGCAAUUCUUGAAUGCCGUAGGCGAGCUCGCCCGCGGCCUCCCACGCCCAACCGUCGACCCGGUUUGGGCCAGGGAUUCUCUACUCGAUCUUUGCCCGAAUAUCUCCUCAUUACCUUCAUCGACUCCGAACUUACUCGAGUUAGAGUGCUCCGAGCUGAACGUGCCCUUAGAUUACAUCAAUCAAACUAAGGAAAACUUCUUUCGACAAACCGGGCAAUCGUGCACCGCAUUUGACAUCGCCUUGGCCACAAUUUGGCAGUGUCGGACACGGGCGAUAGGCUUAGAACCUACCGAACCAGUGCGGGUGUAUUUCGCUGUGAAUGUUCGUGAAAUGCUACAAGCUCAACCUGGCUACUAUGGAAAUAGCAUUUUUUGCCAAACCGUCUCAUCAACCAGUCAGGAGAUCACAGAGGCGCCCACCGUCGAGAUUAUUAAAAUCAUUAGACAUGCCAAGGGUACGGUUUCGACCGAACUAGCUAAAUGGAAGAACGGUUCAUUGAAAGACUACCCUAUGGAGCAUGUCGAUCUUAGCUACAAUGCGUUUUACGCAACUUACUUGAAAUAUUUAGGGUUUGACCACGCCGAUUAUGGAUCAGGUAAGCUGGUUCGGAUGACCAUACAUAAUGAAUAUAAAUUCUCCCCCUUUUGCAUGCUAGGUUUACCGCAUACUCGGAAAAAUGGGGUUUAUAUAAGUGCGCGUAUUAUUAGGAAGGAACACUUAGAGGCAUUCCGCGAGGAAAUAAAGUUGCUUAAAUAAUUUGAAAGGAAAGAGGUUGUCAUCACCAAUAAUAAUAUGAAUGUUUUGUAUCGACGACUUAGUUCGAUCGCCUUGCGAUCGAAAAUUAUAUUAAUACUUCCUUUGUAAUUUUUAGGGAUAGAUUCUCUUACUCCCUCAAAGGAGUACAUGGCAUAUCUAUGUAUUUCGUUUGUAGCGCACACAAAAGAAAAAGGUUUGGUAAUUACUUGUGUUUAUUUCUUUGUUUGAAAAAUAGAGAACUUUCGAAACUAGAUAGAUAAUUUCAACAUCAUAAAGCAUACCCAAUAUGUGUAACACACGUACCCAACUAUUUAUUUCAUUAAUUAAUGUGUUGCAACUUGUUUUGCUAGCUCUAAAAAGAUAAUUAAUUAAUGCUCCAUAAAGUCGGGCUUGGAUUCGGAUUUAGAUCUAAAAAGCCCGGCUCGAGCCCGGUCCGGCCCAUGAGCAGGUCUAUUUAUGACUAAUCUUUUGGAAUCUUUUGUUUUUUGUUUUUUGUUUUUGGAAUAUUUUGUUAGUAAGCUUACAUCAGUCGAACUAAAGAAGACGACUUUCGACAAACCAUGCAAUCAUGCACCGCAUUUGAUGUGGCCUUGGCCACGAUUUGGCAGUGUCGGACACGGGCAAUAUGAUUAGAACCUACCGAAUCAGUGCGGAUAUAUUUUGCAGUGAAUGUUCGCAAAUGCUACAAGCUCAACCUAGCUACUACCAGAAUAGCAUUUUCUUCCAAGGAUGGCCACUAGUUGUUAAAAGGGAAAAAUGUACAAAGAAUUUAACCCUUAAACUUUAGCACUAUUGUAAACCGGCCCUGAACUUUUAAUUCUGGCAAUUAGACCUCCCUAAACUUUAUCACAUAAUUUAAUAGUCGCUGGUAUUACAUAUAAUCUUAUAAGAUUUUAUUGUAUCAUAAAAAAAAAGUAAUAAACAUUGAAGACAAAUUCACUUUACUCCUCAUUCCUGAUGCUUAGUUAUCAUAACCGGAAGAGAAAAAAUAGAUAUCUUUGUAUUUUGAAGUUACACAAAAUUAUGUACAAGACAUGCACGUGAUCAAAACGGUUGUUAAUUUAGCAACUUUUCUCGGACAGAGAGGCUUACUAAACUUUUCAAAGUUUAGGGGGCUUUAUACAUUUUUGUACCCCUAUCAUAAUAAAAAAAUGAAAAAGUCCUUUUCUAGGGUUUUGGGACCACUAAUCAAAUGGCUAAGAUUAACCCUCCUUGCCUACCCUUUUUUUUUUUUCUUUUUUUUUUUUCUAUUAUCUUAAUCAAAUAGAGACAACCAGAAAAAGCCCAAAUCAGCAGCAGGGUACAUCUGAAUGAACAUUGUGAGAUUGAUUGUAACCAGAUCUCUUAGCCCAGGUUGCAUCUGAAUGAACAACUUGAGAUUGUACCUUAGUCUCCUGGAUCCUGAUUCUAAUAUUAAUCGAUCGAUUCGCCUGAGUCUAAUCACUAUUUAUUAACUGAAUCGAUCUGACCAUAUUCAAUGUACAUAUAUAUGUCAUUGCAGCCCAAAUACAUAGUUAUAAAUGUAAUAGCGCGCACUCCUUAAACUAUACACCAUUUGUAGGGGUGGAAACUAGCAUAGCUCGAGCGAGUUUAUCUCAGUUCAAAUUUGAUUUGAAAUUAAUUUUGAACCUAAAUUUAGGCUCAAAUUCGGCUUGAAAUUAAUUCAAGCGGGAGCUCAAGUAAGCCUGAAUGCUUGAAAUUCUUAUUAUCAUGCAAUCUAUAGUUUAAUUUUCAUAUAACAUUAUUUAGAAUUUGAUACAAAAGUAUAUUUAAUAGUUCAACAUACAAAAUAAAUAUAUAAAAUACAGUAUUAUAAUAUUAAAAAAAAUAAUUUAUUAGUUGAUAUAUCUAACCAUGUAAGGAAAGGAGAGAGUCACCGUCUAUGUAUCACAGACACUUCUAUAAGUCUCGCGUGUCCGUGUCGGAUACAUGUCCGAUGUGGAUAAUUCUUAGACACGUGUUAAAUCACAAUAUCAUAGUGCAAACAAUUAAAAAAAAAUAUGCACAUAUUUUUAUUGUACUUUUUAUUAUAUAUAUUAAUAAUAAGAUGAUAAAUAUUUUGAUUUUUUUAAGAAUGCAUAUAAAUUUUUUUUGACAAUAUAAAAUAAAUUACAUAUAGUGGUGAUUUUUUUCUUCUUAAAAUAAAUAUAUGAGCUGUCAAUAAAAAUUUUACUAACUUUCAUUUAUAUGAGAAAUAUAAUAAUAUAUUAUGAAAAUUAGUAUUUUAUAUAUAAUAAAUAUAUAUUAUUAUAUCAAUAAUAUUAUAUUUUAUUACUAGUGUCCAUGUCAUGUCCGUAUUCUAAUUUUUUGAAAAAAGCCGAGUCACCGUUUCCGAGUCGUGUCACGUCCCGUAACUUGUGUCAGUGUCUGUGACGCCUAGGUCACCGCACUCGCUGGAGGAGAGGAAGAGGGCGGCAAGUGAGGGAUUGGAGGACAAAGAAACAGUGGCCGAGGAUAGGGCGGCAUCGAGGCUGCGCGCGGCAACGACGGUUUCGACCUACUAACUCGCCGAUACGUUCUGAAUUGCAAAAGUAUAUAACUUAAUGGUUAUUACUUAUUGGUAUCUGUUUGAUCCAACUUCUGAAAUAAUGAAAAAGUUAUUUGUCCUUUGUUGGGAAUCCGGUAUUCGCUCCGGUACCGGAUCUUGUGAAUCCACAACCCGCUUCGAUACCGACUGCUGUGGAUCCGGUACCAAUUGUUGGGAUUCCGCAACGGAAACGUCGAAUCGGAUUUUUACCAUAAACCCAUCUCCUCAGCAAAAGCUGAUACAAUCACAAAAAAGAAAAAAAUCGAAACAGAAAAUAUGCAGAUAAAAUAAGAUUCAUUAAAUAAAAGAAUAUUACACCUGACUCUUCUUCUGCAAUAGAGUAGUUAUAACUCGAGCCCUCUUUCUGAAUCUCUUCUAUUCUUCUCUCGUCUUUUAUAAAUCUAAAAGACAACUCUCUUUCUCUUUUACAUGCACCCGUACACUAGGUGCAUGCAAUCGGCCAACUCUCCCUCUCUGGUACAAACCCACCAAAGAGCUUCAACUUUUUGGCCGUUCUCUCUCUCUCCAAAAGCACUCAACAUGGUGCUUAUAUAAUGCUUACAAUAAAAGUACCCAAAUCCUAGUAUAUUUAGAAUUCCCACUUUAAUAAAUAUUUAAAUCUAUAUUUCGUUUAUCUCUAAUAGACUUAAAUAUUUAUUCUAACCUAAUUAGAUUCAUACUCUAAUUAAUAUUUAAAUCUUAAUAUAUCUCCAACAGAUUUAAAUAUUAAUCCUUAUCCAACUAGAAUUAAUAUACAAAUUUAACCAAAUCCUAACAUCCUUAACCUAGUAAUACUUGUUAGUGUCUGUUUGAUCUAACUUCUGAAAUAAUGAAAAAGUUAUUUGUCCUUAACCUAGCAAUACACAACCAACAUUAUAUCCUACAAUCGGGCAACAAAAAAAAUUUAAUGUAGUUUAGAAGUUAGGAUCUUAGUUUUCAGAUACGUACUUAAACCUUUUGUUAGAUCCAAUCCAACUAAAAUAUGUAUCCUAUACCCUUUAACACCCCCUAUUUUUCUUUUUCUUUUUUUUGCUCAUGAAACUACCCAAAUAUCUUUCAAUGAAUGUGAUGGAAAGGACCACCAAAAAAUAGAGAUUUUUUUGAUUGAAUUAAAGCUCAAUUCUCUUCCUAUAUAAAGAGUAAUGAACAUGUAACUCAAGCUAUGCAACUCUAGCUAAAACAUGGGUUCAGUGGUGACCAAUUUUAAACCUUUCUUAGUUGCCCCAUCAAAACCAACCCCUAGGGGGAAACUCCCUCUCUCUCUCCAAUUGACAAGACCCAAAAUUUAAGAUUCUUAUUUGUUUCAUCUAUACAUAUUUUCGCACACGGUGACAGCGGCAGCGACGUUGAGAAAGUUAAUACAAUAAAACAUGCAAUAUCGGAAGCACUAGUUCUGUAUUACCUGCUUGCAAGUCGACUUGUGGGUGUAGGGGACGGGAAAAGGAUAGGCUUUGUCGAGGCGUUGGCGGAUUUUUGCUUGGAGGAUGUGAAUUUCUUAGAACACCCUUCCGUGAUCCCGUUGGAAGAGCUUGUAGUUGGAGAGUAACCAAUUCUCCCGUCAUUAUGCAGGUUUCGUAUGACUACAUAGGUUCAUUAAUUCCUUAAUAGAAAAGAGUUGUAAAUAGUGACGUGAUAAGUGUAGUUGUUAGUUCUAGUCAGAGUACAAAUGAAUAUAGUCAUAAAUAAAUUAGAUUGAGUCUUCAAUCGUCUGUUCACUAGUACGCCAUUCACCAAUAUUGUACAUUGUUUGCGUGCACGAGUCCUCCAUAAUCUCGUAAACUUGUUAUUUUGUCAACAAUUAUUUCAAGUCAUUUGUUGGUUUACAUUAAUAUGUUAUGCUUAAAUCUAAUCAUCAUGGGCCGAGCGGCUGACUUGGACCGCUCUAGCCCAAAUCAUAAUGGGUGGUCUUUGGGUCACUUCUUGUUAGGCCCAGCCCAGAUAUAAACGAGUCCGGUUUGGAUUUGGAUUUGGAUUUGGAUUUGGAUCUAGUUCUCAAAAACCUAGCUUGAGGUGGGCUUGGCCUAUGAACAGGUCUAUUUAUGACUAAUCUUUUGGUGUAUUUUGUUAGUAAGCUUACAUAUUACUCACUUUCACCAUGCAUAGGUAACCAAAUUCACGUGCGGUGGAUUCGCCCUCGGCUUUGGAUGGCACCACUCACUCCGCGAUGGCACGGGAGCCGUGCAAUUCUUGAAUGCCGUAGGCAAGCUCGCUCGCGGCCUCCCACGCCCAACCUUUGGAGUGGCACUCGCGGAGCGCUACCCCAACCGAGUGUAGUAUUACUGUCAAACUCAAUAAAGCAUGCAGCCUGUGGUCAAAUAUGAUGAUCAAACAGAUCAUAAUACAGUUAUAGUCUCACACUAUUUAUAGCUGUCUAUUAAUCUCUAAAAAAAUAUCACACACGCGCGCGCGCACGCGCGCGCGCACAACACACACACACACACAUAUAUAUAUAUAGGGGCAAUUUCACCACUACCCCUCUUAAAUAUCUAAAUAUCGUAAAUACCCUAUAAAAUUGAAAAUAUUAUAUAUACCCCUUCAAAUGUAAAAAUUAUCACAAAUACCCUUUUUCAAACAGACGUUAUGAUUAGGUUAUAAAAUGACUAAUUUACCUCGGUUGGGGUGUUCUUUGGGAGCAACUAAUAAAGAAAUAAUUUCAUAAAUAUCCUUCAAAUUUUAAAAAUAAUAUUUUUAGUACUAAUUAUUGGGUAGAUAAAAUAUGUGGAAACAUCAUCUAACCGCACAUCUCUUAAUCCAAUGGACACAAAUCUACAACCACUAAUAAACUUGAUACUUUUAAAAUAUAGGAGCUCAAUUAAUAAUAUAUAUAUAUUAUUCAAAGCUAGGGCCAUGCAAAUGGACUAAUGGGUGAGCGGGUCUUCAUACAAUGUUAUUUUUUUGUUGACAAUAAAUGUGCAAUUAAAAAACUGUGCUUGAUUGGGUCAUAUGAAAAUACUAAUAUCAAAAAAAAUUUAUAUCAAAACAUUUUUGUAUGACUUAUGUGAGUUAUUUAAAUAAAAUUCAAAAAAAUUAAACUUUGGAAUUAAUAUUGAAUAUUACAAUGGAAUAUUGCAUUACAACUAUAUAUAAUUUACAUGCGAAAAAUAUAACAAGAUUUAAUUAUUACACUUAAUAGACUAUAGAUAUAUUAAUUGUUAAAUUUUAAAAAGAAUGUUGAAUUAUUAUGUGAUUGAAAGGUUAAGAAUUGAUCUUGAUCAUGUAAUUAAUCUUAAAUUAUUACACUUAGUUAAAUUAGUAAUUAAUAAGGGUAAAAUGGGUAUUUAGAGAAUAUUAGAUGACUUUUUAACGGAAUGUUAAUCUUAAGGGUAUUUGUGAAUAUUUUUGUUUUAUAGAGGGGUAUUGCUGAUAUUUUGUAAUUUAUAGGGGCAUUUAUGAAAUUCCUAUCUCUUAGAAAGGGUAUUGAUGAAAUUAUUCCAUAUAUAUAUAUAUGUCGGAAACUAUUAAUAGUACCAAGCUGUUGGUGCUAUUAGUUUUUUAACUCUUGGAUUGGGAAUAUGCGGUUAGGAUGAUGUGGCCCUCUAGGGUUGAGUGGGUAGUUGGUUGAAUAGUAUAAUCUAAUAGGUAAAAAAAAUUAAAGAAUUAAAUCUAUAAGGUGGACAAACUCGAUAGCACCAAAUACUUAGUGCUAUCGAUAGUAUUCCAGUCGGACUCUCUCUCUCUCUCUCUCUCUCUCUCUCUCUCUCUCUCUCUCUCUCUCUCUCUCUUCUAUAUAGUAUAUAUAUAUAACACACACUGUCAUCGUCAAAGACGGCGGAAGAGAGUCGAAGCGGGGAAAAAAAAAAAAUGUCGCGUGCGGGCUCGGCGGGGUAGGAGGAGAGGAAGGCGGGGAGGUGCGCGCGGGGCGAGGCAUGAGGGUGAAAUGCGACGCAGGUUGUUUCGCCUUCGCCUCUGCGCCUUCUUCGGAGAGAGAGAAAAAAUGAACAAGAGAAAAAAAAAAAAAAAAAAAAAAAAAAGAGAAAAAGUAAUAAGGGUAUUUUGGUCAGUUUACUGAAAAUUAGGAAAGAAUCUGUAAAAUCGAAAAAGGCAAUCUAGUUUUGCAAAAGCUCAAAAGUUAUGAAUUUUUUAUGCAGAUUUGCCUUUCUUUUUCUUUCUAAUAUGCUUAUAUGCUUAUCUACUGAUGGGAAUUUUCAUCACUGAGGAAACUUAUCACAAGGAAGUAUAAUUUGUCUGAAAUCUGAUUUGGUAUAAUAAAGCCUUUCUUUAUGGCACGUAAUUAAGGUGUAAUGUGAUGUUUAUGUCGUGUCUGAUUAAACUCCAUUCAUAAGCGCUCCUUGUCCACAAAUUUCUUUUAAUUUAAUUAGUAUACGUAUCUCUAUUUAUUAGUCCUAAUUAUUCAUGUUGUUUUGGAGCUACUUGGAAGAAAUUUCAUGUUGAUUGUCUUUUUUGUAGUCUAAGUUCUCUAAUCGUAUUCGAUAAUUCCCCAAUAAUAGUGUUUUUAGUGGAGGAUUGUUGAGCAAUCAAAAUGCCGUAUGAGUCUAAUUUUCGAUGUAAAUCAAGUAAUAAAUGUAUGAUAGUAUUAUUUUGUCUUAUAAAAAUUUGUUUUGUUGUACUAGAUACAUUAUAAUCGUAAAACCACCCUUAGCUAGCCAUGUAUGAUUUGACUAAUCUACAAGUUAUAUUAUAUAUAUUAUUAUAUAUUAUUAAAACGAAUAGAUGCACUUGUUUUAACAGUUUUAAUAGUUAUUAUUAAUUUGUUUUAAUAGUUUGAAAGUAUUCAAUUAAAGCAUUAAUACAUGCUAUAAAUUUUUUUUUUUUUAUUAUAUUAAAGCUCCGUUAUCUUAGGUAGUGUUUGGUUUGAAAACAAGUGGAAUAAGCCCUUAUUCUCCCCUUUGUUCCCAAACGUCAUGUUUGGUAUCCGAAAAUAGUAAUUCUCGAAUUUCUGAAUAAGCUAGUAUAGGACUGGAACAACUGUUCCAUCUUUUUUUCCUGAAACAAACUUGUUCCCAAGUUGGAACAAGGUUAAGUAUGGUCUAAAUUUAAUUCUAAUUAUGGUAUUAAAUUAUUAAUUAAUAUAAUUAAUAUAUUUAAAUCAUUAUUUAUUGUUUAAAUAAUAAAAUGAUUUAUUUAUUUAUUAUAUAAUUAAUUAUUAAUAAUUUAAUGUAUUUAUCUAUAAACUAAUAUAUUUAUAAAGAUCAACCAUUAAUAUUUCUAUUAAUCUAAUUAAACUUUUUUAUUGGUUAUCUAGCUAAAAUAAUUCACUAACUAAUUAAAAAAUUAAAUUAUUUUUUAUAAUUAAUUAAUUAAUUAAUUAAUNAUUAUGAUUUGGGUUAAACCGGAACUCCCGUAUGUUAUAUAUUUAUAUAUAACUUAAUGUAAAAAUGUUAAAUCACGUACAUCCAUCAAAUACGUGUUCAGAUACAUGCCAACCGUUAUAUCUACCAUAUCUUUAUAAAUCAUUUUGAAUAGAUCAAUUGUAUCUUUAGGCAGUGCUUGGUUCGGGAACAAGAGGGGAACAAGCCCUUAUUCCCCUCUUUGUUUCUGAACACUGAAGGAACAACCUAAUUUUCAUGUAAAUUAUUUUAAAUUUAUUAAUUAAAUUUACUACUAAUAAAUUUAUUAAAUUAUUUUUAAGUAAUAUUUUGAUAUUAAUUAAUUAGAUAAAAUAAUUUUAAUUUAAAAUUAUAACUCUUAUUUUUCUUGUUCCAAUCUAACCAUCCAAACACUAUUUACCUUAUUCCUAACAAUAACCCCAAUUUUCAUUUAAAUGUAAAAUUGGUUUAAUUCUUACUUAUACCUGAGCUUGCACAUAUUCCUGAAAUAAGCAGUUCUUAUUUAUACCCGAAUGAAACGCAGCCUUACUUAGGGGUGCAAACGAGCCGAACACGAGCGAGCACGGCCUUAUUCGUAUUCGGUCGUAUUAGAUUCGAGCCGAAUUCGAGCUGACUCGAAUUAAUUUCGAGCCAGAAUAAGACCCUUUCGAGUUCGGCUCGAAAUCAAAAUCGAGCCAAAUUCGAGCAGCUCGAAAUAUUUUUUUUAUUUUAUUUUUCGAGCUAAUUUCAAGCCAUGUUCAAAUUUGGCUCGGAAUUGUUUGAUUCCGAGCCAGCUCGUUAAUAGCUUGAAAUUCUUUAUUUUUCUUUACUUUUUUCAAUUUUAAAUGUUUAUGAAUAUUUGCCAAUAUUACAUUAUAUAAAUUUAGCUACAAUCCAAAUAAAACUACAAUCAAUAUAAUUAUAACCAACAUACGUGCUUAAAUGCACGCAACAAUUAAAAAAAAUCUCAAGAAUAAUUUGAAAUUUGAAAAUAACUUACAUCUCUAUAUUGGCUCCCAUUUCCAAUUGCUUGAAGAUAAAUAGAGCUAUUUUGGAGAUAAAAAGAAAUUAAGCAAAUUUCGAAUUAAAAUAUAGAUUCACACUAGAUAUCUUUCGGCUGGUAAAAAUUUGGAUAAGUAUAUUUUUUUUCUAUUUUAGAGAUAAAGAAAAAUUAAAAAGUUUGUUUCAUUACGUUAUUUAUUUUACGUAAGGAAAGAGAAAUCAAUUUUUUUUUUCCGCUAAAAAACUGGUCGGUCGAAAUUUGAAAUACGCGCGUGCUUAUAUAUACUCAUAAGAGUAUCGUAGCUCUAGCAUAU